This is a long non-coding RNA of Silurus meridionalis, 1658 nucleotides long. RefSeq lists it as uncharacterized. Lineage: Eukaryota; Metazoa; Chordata; Actinopteri; Siluriformes; Siluridae. The record is from RefSeq and is a predicted model, not a curated record. The transcript has 4 exons.
UUGACCUUGUCUCGCGUGUUUUUCCUGCUGCUUUGUCUCAACAGAGCUGCUUGAAGAUGAAGGACGCACUGCACUAUCCAGCCAGGCUGUAUAGGGAAGUGGGAUAUAUCCUUCCUCCCUGCAGAGGCCAUGUCAUGGGUGGACCGGUCAUUAAUGGUGCAGAAAACAAAAAACAGCCAAAGAAAUAACAACUCGGAUGCUACAGGACAGCUACAAUGUCUAAUGUAGGCACAUUUUACAACUAUUAUAAGAAGAAAAGAAAAUGCUGAGACAUGCAGGAGUCCACAUCAGGUUGCCUUCUUUGUCAGCCAGGACCUGGAAUCUGAUUCUACAGUGGGCAUGGACUUAACAAAAAUGUGGAAUAAUCUGUUGUUUUGCAUCAAUUUCUCGUGUUAAUCCACGAUCCCUCUCAUACCUCGACUCAUCUAUUAGUCUGUCAGUUUUCACAAAUGGGAACUUGUUCCUCUGCCAUUAUCUCUGUGAGAUGAAAUGAACAAGCGCACAAAACUUCUAUUCAAACCAGAAGGACUGAAAACAAGCUGAAGGUUUGAUGUCCAGAAGCUGAUCCAAGUGGACUCAGCUUAUGAUGAAAUGUACGCCAGCAAAGCAGCCCACAUUCCCCCAUGUCCUCUCCCUACCCGGCACUUCAUUAAAGGUGUAGUAUCUCUUCGAGACAUCUUCCUGCUCCUCAACAACACUAUUCAAUACUUUUUCAUUUCCCGCCUUCAUCCACAAAGCAUUUUAUUGAUAAUAUGAAAAGAAAAAAAAAUCGCACAACCCACACUCUUGUGUAUUACUGCUACAAAGAAUCGGUACAGUGCACAAUGCAGAUCCUGUUCAUCGAUCUCCAUUCACGUCUUGACCCUUCCGGACAUGAUUCCUAGACAGAGUGGUAAUGUAAAAGGCAUUGGGGCAUUAAUGUGGCCAUCAUCAGCCACAAACACAUAAAUAGAACAAUAGAAGCAGAAUAAGAAGACUAUGCAAAAAAAAUGUGAAUCAAGCAAAAUAGAGAGAGAGAGAGAGAGAGAGAGAGAGAGAGAGAGAGAGAGAGAAGGAGAGAAGGAAUAUCAGUGAGAAAAUUAGCAAGAGCUCUCAGAAUGGUUUGAAUGCUUUUAUAUGCAGUCCACUCACAUGCACAAUAUUAUUAGUCAUAAAAAUCCUGAUGGUGUCCUUAUUCUCAAAAGUGCCCCACUAUGAAAGCAGUACAGCCUCCCAUGUAGGUUUAAUGCCCCUAAUACACAGCACAAGGGGGGGGAGCACAGAACACGAUGUGUCUUCUUAUCAAACCUGGAUAACAAUCAGGCAAUUGUAAUUAAGUUAUACACUUUCAAAAUGUAACCUGGUACAUGUCAUAUAUCAGCCCAGACUCAUAGCAUUUCAUGAUAUAGCCACAAAAUGUAAUCUAGUGAUUAGUGUUCAUAGACACGAAUUUCCCUCUUUUUCCAUUUCACUAAAGAUGACUUUCUAUGUAAUGUAUUUUAAAAGGAAGUAUUUUUGGUGUUUCCGCCAAAGCUUUCAUUCUCCCACUGGAUACCACAGACCCUGUAUUGUUUUCUCUUAUUUGUUAUUAAUUUUGAAUCUUCAAGCACCAUUAAUCAACAUUUAAGCAGGAGAUUUUAUCCUUAAAAACUAUAAUCACACUCUUGAUAUCAACCCAA